Molecule: transfer RNA, 70 nt
Filed under: Amblythyreus gestroi
Lineage: Eukaryota; Metazoa; Arthropoda; Insecta; Hemiptera; Phymatidae
Description: tRNA-Lys
Source: RNAcentral
CAUUAAGUGACUGAAAGUAAGUAAUGGUCUCUUAAACCAAACUAUGGUAAUUAACACAUACCCUUAAUGG